GCACGAACUCCCAUUUCCCACUAGAAAACGUAACCCUCGUUUUGACAAACAGUGUCCAUUCCUAAUGGCACCAAGUGCCCCUCGUCGCUUUCGCGUUCGACACAGAAGCGCCUUAGAGAUCCCAAGGCUUAAACCCGUUAUCACUGGAGCCAACGCCAUCCCACUGAACUGGAGGCCUCUGGCCAUCCCAGAGAAAUUGAGUUCAGGUACCUUGGGAUCCCGG
RNAcentral lists this long non-coding RNA (223 nucleotides) under Elaeis guineensis (African oil palm). RNAcentral describes it as "long non-coding RNA (EGUI_LNC023239)". Lineage: Eukaryota; Viridiplantae; Streptophyta; Magnoliopsida; Arecales; Arecaceae. The record is from RNAcentral.